RNAcentral lists this long non-coding RNA (2901 nucleotides) under Marmota monax (woodchuck). The record is from RNAcentral. Lineage: Eukaryota; Metazoa; Chordata; Mammalia; Rodentia; Sciuridae.
CAAUAGUAGAUCCCAAGUCACAGAGUGGUUGUAAGGAUUAAAUAAGUUAAUAUUUAAAGGAUUGAGUUAAUAUUUAAAACAGUGUCUGUCACAUAAUGAGAGAUACGUAAGUGGAAUGUUUAAAAAGUCAUAUAAUCAAAUCUCCACGCCUGGACACUGGUUGUUUCUUAAUUGACAAAGUCUUUGGUGGGCUCUGUGCGUACCCUCCCAUCAUUCCAGCAUGAGAAGGCAGAAGAAAGGCAUCCGGACAACUUUCUCCUGCAGCAAAAGGUAAGGCACCUUGGCUUCAUUCUGAUUUCUAACAAUGUGCACACCCAGACCAAGGCCCAGCCAGAAGGAGAAGCUGUGUCCAGUGUGUGGACCAGAAAAUGGGAAUCCCUCCAUCCAAGUCCCUCAGACCCUCGUCAUCUCCCUGCCUGUAUAUCGCCAAAUGCUGCACACAGCUGUCCCCCAUGGAUACCCUGCACCAAGCCAGGGUUCCAGAACCUAAGGAAUAGCUCUCUGAGAACCUCCCAUGGGGCUCCUGGGAUGUCUGCUGGCUGUGGUGGCUCAACAGUGUGCAUCCCACAGAAGACGUCAGAGAAGGGGAGGAGGAGCAGAGAAGCCGGCAGGUGGCAGGAAGAAGGAAGGAUCAUGGCGAGAGGAAACCAAACAUACCAGGAAAAAAAGUAGAAAAGCCUAAGUAAGUACAAGAAAACUUUUUUUGUCUCUCUAUUUUUGGCCAAGUGAAAAAAUAAAAAAUAAAAACCAAGAGACUCAGACAGAGCCCGUGAAGGGAAGGAACCAACUGACAAACUGCAGAACUGUGAAAUGCAUGCUAAUUACCUCACCCUUCCUCCUGCGCUGGGCUGCAACCAGAGCCCACAAGCCAUUUGUACGUUGGCCUCAUAAUGAUUUCAUUUUACAGAUUUCCUUCCACUUUUUUUUUCUUUUUCCUUUUUCUUACAAAGGCCAUCACAAUUCUAUUCUGUUUUGGGAAGUAGGAACAGGAUCUAUCUUUAGGAAAUUUAAAUGCCAAAGAGCUCAGAUAAGCAUAAUUGAGAAGCAAAGCCUAGUUGGUGUGAUCGAGACAAAUAUUAAAUCACAAAUAUUUGAAAUUCUUCCCCUUUGUGCCCUGAGGAGAGAAGUGCCUUUGUUUGCUGAACUGGCUCCUAGAACUACAGAACUACGUGGCCUUUGUCCUGCUGUGGAGGACACUGGGCAGGGAGAGACACCAAAGGAAGGCAAAAUAUUAGUCAAGUGCCUACCAUGUAUCAGGCCUUCUGCUAGAAGCUAGGAGUGAACCCUCAGGAAACUAAUGAUCAUUUUCUUUCUUUCUUUCUUCUUCUUUUUUUUUUUUACUUAAUAAAGUUGUGGUAAAACACACAAAAUGUACCUUGUUAACCAUUUUUAAGCGUACAGUUCAAAAGUGUUAAGAAUAAUUCCCAUGGUUGUGACAUCUCCAGAAAUCUCACAUCUUGUAAAAUUGAAACUGAACAUGCAUCCAACACAGUAAACCGCUCCCAUUUCCCUUUCCACCCCCAGAUCUCUACUUUCUGUUUCUAUGGAUUUAAUUACUUGAGCUCCCUCAUAGAAGUGGAGGCAGCCAGUUGUUUGUCUUUCUGUAACUGGCUUAUUUCACUCAGCAUCAUAUCCUCAAGGUUCGUCCACGUUGUAGCCUGUAUCAAGAAUUUCUCUUUCUUUCAAAGCUGAGCAGUAUUACAUCCUAUGUGUAAUAGACUUGGCCUGUCCAUUCCUGACCGUGGAUACUUGAGUUGCUUCCACCUCUUGGCUAUUGUAAAUGAGGCUGCUAUGAGAACUGUCUUAGUCAGCUUUUUUUUGCUGCUGUGACUAAAAGACCCCACCAGAACAAUCGUAGAGGAGGGAAAGUUUAUUUGGGGGCUCACGGUUUCAGAGGCCUCAGUUCAUAGACAGCUGGCUCCAUUCCUCAGGGCUCAGGGUGAGGCUGAACAUCAUGGCGGAAGGGUGUGGCAGAGGGAAGCAGCUCACGUGAUGAUCAGAAAGCAGAGAGAGACUCCACUCACCGGAUACAAAAUAUAUAUCCCAUAGCCAUGUUCCCAAUGAACCACUUCCUCCAGCCACCUGCCUCCAGUUACCACUCAGUUAAUCCCAUCAGGGAUCAAUUCACCGAUUGGGUUAAAAUCAUUUCUCCUCUAAACCUUUUGGUAUUGUCCCACACAUGAUCUUUUGAGGGACACCUUGCAUCCAAACUACAAUAAACACAACACUCUUUAAAGAAGCUUAUUCCAUCAUAUUUGUUUACCCAUCCUUUGGCCCAACUGAAGUUUUAGCUGCACAGGGACCUGUUAUUUAUCCUGGUAUGCCCACUUCCCGUACAGUGUGGGCACAUAGUAGGAACUCAAAAAUAUUUGUUCAACAAAAUAUUUUUACACUUCUUAGUCUCCAGUAUUGCAGCUGGCUGCUUUACAUAUUUUAAUAAAUAAGUUUUGCAAUUUUAAUGAAUGUUAUUUUGAUUAUAUUUACAUAGUAAGCUAGUUUAUAUAAGGAGAUAAGUAUUUAAAAAAAUCCAAAUCUCAAUCAAAAUCCACUCUAGAUGAAAUGCCAUUGACAAUUCCUUCCCACUCACCUUGCUUAAAACCAACUCUUAUUCCUGUCUUUCUUCCCCUUUCUUUCCCUCAAGUCAUGGCACUGUUAGAUCCUGAGGGCAUUCAUUAGGGGUCCCUCAGACAAUGGAAAGCCAGGCAUGGCUUUGGAGUUUGGUUUACUCAGCUCAAAAUCUUUCCCUGGGGUUAUUUUGGAUGAGGCACAGGAUCAACAACACCCAGCUCCAUCUCUGGAGGAACUCACAGAAUUAUGGCUCUCUCUGCUUAUUCCUGAUUACGACUAAGUAAGAGACAUUGGUUUUCUCAGGUACAGAAAAUAGUGUUUAUUUCCAUUCCC